UAAAGUUUUUGGAACUUAUUCCAAAAACAUGUUAUUUUAGUUGAGAAUGUAGCUAAACACUUUAAAUAAAGUUUUGGAGACUAACAAAUCUAAUCAAAGUAUCAAAAUAUGGAUCAGAAAAACAGAAUAGGGGAGUUUCAUAUUACAUGGCCUGUGUAGUUUGUUACACGCCCUUUGUAGCAUUACAUGACCUUAGACCAUAUAACUCUCAGUUCUUUCCAUUUUCACUCUUUUUGGCAUUACACUGCUUGUGUAACUUUUACACCACUUAUGUAACUACUUAGAAUAUCAUUACAUAACUUAUGUAACGUUUACACAUCUUAUGUAACGACAAGCCUAUCAUUACAUGGCUCAUGUAAUUGGAUUGUGCAAGUGCAAAAUAGGAAAAAUAAGAUUUUAAUUCUUGAAACCUAGAAUUUCAUAGGUCUUAACCUACAAACAUCAUGUAACAAAACUUGUAAUGGCGAAAUAGGAUGACUCUGAUACCAAUUGAAGGAGUGG
Molecule: unclassified non-coding RNA, 501 nt
Filed under: Hevea brasiliensis (rubber tree)
Lineage: Eukaryota; Viridiplantae; Streptophyta; Magnoliopsida; Malpighiales; Euphorbiaceae
Source: RNAcentral